CGCACGCACGCACGCGCACGCACGCACACGAAGCCCGCCACACGCACCAGGACUGCUCUGCAAGGGGACUCACUGCUGGGGAUGGCUGGGAGCACACACUACUAGCGGAUGCUGCCUGUCCAUCAGUCAGUUGCUGGUCACUUGGUCAGUUAGUGGGCAGGAGUCAGAGAGGAGAGAGCCUCUGAGGUGGCCAGAGCCCAGGCUGUGCAGUGAAACCCACUGUAAUCCCUAACCUUCCGCCUCUGCCCACUUCCUUCCCCAUAGACCCAGGGAAGCCUUCAGGUGCAGGAGACCCCCUCAAAGGGCUUUGAAGACCACGGUACUGUUGCCCCCACACUGGCCCCUCCCCCAACCCUGAGGACAGGGUCCAGGGCUCCUCCUGCUCCAUGGCCUCCCCGAGAGGCUUGCUGUUGCUGUUGCUACUGGGCCAACCCCGCGCCUCCUGCAAACCCAGGGUGACGCAUCUGGCUCCCACCCCGCCCCCGACCGGUCUGAGCAGCCUCGGGUGCAGAGCUGCCCGGACUUGCCCGUCCCUCCCUCCCGGGCUCUCAACCCACGGCCCGGAAGUGGAUCCCUCUCCCACGCCCACAACCUCCCCCUCGACUGGCUGGACACGGCUGGAUAAACCAAAAUAAUUCCUCCUUGGCAGGCAGCCGGCAGGGGGAGGGGGACUCGCAUUCCAAACCCUUGUUUUUCUCACUAACUUCCCUCCCCUCCUGGGGUGAGGAGCCCCUGGCCCCACCUCCCCCCACACCAUAGACUGAGGCAGGACCCCAGUAGGGAUAGUGGGAAGUGGGAGAGGAUGGGGGCUCAGAUCUGCUGGAGCCCACCUACUUGUCCCUCAGUCUCCUCCAGGAAUUGGGAAGCACCACGCGGAGGGCUGGCACCACAAAGCCCUGUACACCAGCACGUGAACCUGACCUACGAGCUAUGGCUCCCUGACCUCCAGGCAGGGCUCACAGCACUGCCAGUGAUCCAGGGAGUCUGAGCAUAGCUUCCCAGGGUGGGUCCCCCUCCAGGCCAUGUGGUCAGGCUGAGAGCCAUCGCUUCAGGGCAGCACAACCUUCUGCUCCCAGCACAGCCAAUCUCCUGAGGGGAGAUUCAGCUUUACAUGUGAGGCAGGAAGUACAGGAGCUAAAGUUAAACAUGGAAGGAGGUUCCCCAGGGAGGAAGCAGGUCCGGUGGGCCCUCCCCCAGGCCCCAGGACAUCAGCUUUGGGGCCCAGCCUCACCCCCAGUCCUGAGCCCCCUGCUCACAGACCAUGGUGUACACAGACCCCUUUCUAUCUUUUCAAGGAACUGGGGAGCGGAGCCAGAGUUCCAACGUGGCAGGAAGCUCUGGAGCUCCUGAGCUCAGAGACCCCCGGAUGGGGAGGAAGGACCCCCAAAUCUGCCAAACAACCUGUCCUCGAAAGGGGCAGGAAAGGUUCACUGCACGGAGGGCUUCCUGAAGGAAGAGGCAUUUGGAGGUGCAGGACCAGCAGGAUCUCCAGCUUGCCUCUUCCUCAAAAUGGAUUUAUGGCCUGUCUCAGUCCUGCUCUGCUGUAACUGUGGUCACUUCCUAGGACCCUGACCAGACUGUCCUGCCCAAAAGCCCACUCACAUCCCUCACCUCUCCUUAUUACUGAAGUGGGAUGGGCUACCUUGGCUGCCCCGAACCCUGGCAGACUCCUACCUCCAGUCUCAAUUCAGAGAGUCUUUAGUAGGGUGUGAGGAGAUGUGGACAGUGACAGCCAGAGGGACCCCCUCCCCUGGCCCUGCCUCACGGCCCCUCCUCUCAAGGCAUGCAGGGGCCAGAUAGUCCCCACUGUCUGGCCUCCCCUUGGCCUCAUCCCUCAGAUGAAGUGUCAUGGAUUGAAUUACAACCCCCCCAAAAAUGUAUGUAUCAAUUUGGUUAGGCCAUGAUUCCCAGUAUUGUGUGGUUGUCUUCCAUUUUGUGAUUGUAAUUUUAUGUUGAGAGGAUUAGGGUGGGAUUGUAACACCAUCCUUACUCAGGUCACCUCCCUGACUCAAUGUAAAGGGAGUUCCCCUGGGGUGUGGCCUGUACCAGCUUUUCUCUCUCAAGAGAUAAAAUGGAAGCAAGCAGAGAGUUGGGGACCUCAUACCACCAAGAAAGCUGCACCAGGAGCAGAGUGCAUCCUUUGGACCCAGGGUCCGUGUGCCUGAGAAGCUCCUCGACCACGGGAAGAUUGAGGACAAGGACCUUCCUCCAGAGCCAACACAGAGAGAAAGCCUUCCCCUGGAGCUGACACCCUGAAUUUGGACUCCUAACCUACUUUACUGUGAGGCAAUAAAUUUCUCUUGUUACAGCCA
Loxodonta africana (African savanna elephant) is the source of this 2312-nucleotide long non-coding RNA. RefSeq lists it as uncharacterized. The transcript has 2 exons. Lineage: Eukaryota; Metazoa; Chordata; Mammalia; Proboscidea; Elephantidae. The record is from RefSeq and is a predicted model, not a curated record.